Saimiri boliviensis boliviensis (Bolivian squirrel monkey) is the source of this 71-nucleotide small nucleolar RNA. RefSeq annotates it as small nucleolar RNA SNORD50. NCBI's taxonomy places the organism in Eukaryota, Metazoa, Chordata, Mammalia, Primates, Cebidae. The record is from RefSeq and is a predicted model, not a curated record.
UAUCUGUGAUUAUCCUAUUUUGAAACUGAAUUUCUCCUGGAAAAAACGUAUAUGAAUCUGGCUUCUGAGAC